CUAUGCGCCUUGCCAGCCCGCUCAGGUGUGCCAGCAGCCGCGGUAAUACGGAGGAUGCGAGCGUUAUCCGGAUUUAUGGGUUUAAAGGGUGCGUAGGCGGGCUGUUAAGUCAGCGGUCAAAUGUCGGGGCUCAACCCCGGCCUGCCGUUGAAACUGGCGGCCUCGAGUGGGCGAGAAGUAUGCGGAAUGCGUGGUGUAGCGGUGAAAUGCAUAGAUAUCACGCAGAACUCCGAUUGCGAAGGCAGCAUACCGGCGCCCUACUGACGCUGAGGCACGAAAGCGUGGGUAUCGAACAGG
RNAcentral lists this ribosomal RNA (297 nucleotides) under uncultured bacterium. Its description in RNAcentral is "partial 16S ribosomal RNA". It matches the Rfam family "Bacterial small subunit ribosomal RNA", at positions 475 to 776 of the family's 1533-position model. The record is from RNAcentral.